GUGAAUCAUCGAAUUUUUGAACGCAAAUUGCACUCCCCGGUUUUCCGGGAGGGUAUGCCUGUUUGCGGGUCAGCCUAAACAAAAUCGACAUUGUUGCUGGUUUAUGGUGACUUUCGUCGGAGCUGAGUUAUCUUAGCUCUCGGUUUAAGCGACUUAAAGAUUUUUUUUUACUAUUCUAAGAAUGUUUCUAAGAUUUAUCUUGUACGUUUAAGCUAUCGAUUGUCUUAUUAGC
This 232-nucleotide unclassified non-coding RNA is filed under the name Glomeromycota sp. Its description in RNAcentral is "partial contains 5.8S ribosomal RNA and internal transcribed spacer 2". The stretch from base 1 to 72 matches the Rfam family "5.8S ribosomal RNA", at positions 84 to 154 of the family's 154-position model. The record is from RNAcentral. Lineage: Eukaryota; Fungi; Glomeromycota.